Molecule: ribosomal RNA, 445 nt
Filed under: uncultured bacterium
Lineage: Bacteria
Description: bacterial SSU rRNA
Rfam family: Bacterial small subunit ribosomal RNA
Source: RNAcentral
CUACGGGAGGCAGCAGUGGGGAAUAUUGCACAACGGGCGAAAGCCUGAUGCAGCGACGCCGCGUGCGGGAUGACGGCCUUCGGGUUGUAAACCGCUUUCAGCAGGGAAGAAGCGCAAGUGACGGUACCUGCAGAAGAAGCACCGGCUAACUACGUGCCAGCAGCCGCGGUAAUACGUAGGGUGCGAGCGUUGUCCGGAAUUAUUGGGCGUAAAGAGCUUGUAGGUGGUUUGUCGCGUCUGCUGUGAAAAUCCGGGGCUCAACCCCGGACUUGCAGUGGGUACGGGCAGACUAGAGUGUGGUAGGGGAGACUGGAAUUCCUGGUGUAGCGGUGGAAUGCGCAGAUAUCAGGGGGAACACCGAUGGCGAAGGCAGGUCUCUGGGCCAUUACUGACACUGAGAAGCGAAAGCAUGGGGAGCGAACAGGAUUAGAUACCCGGGUAGUCC